Scophthalmus maximus (turbot) is the source of this 1192-nucleotide long non-coding RNA. RefSeq lists it as uncharacterized. The transcript is spliced from 4 exons. The record is from RefSeq and is a predicted model, not a curated record. Lineage: Eukaryota; Metazoa; Chordata; Actinopteri; Pleuronectiformes; Scophthalmidae.
CUGGGAUUCUAAACACUGUCACCACGACUGUGGGUCAGCCGCUGUUAACAAGUUAACAUGACGAGCGUUGGGAGCAAAGAAUCAGACAUAGUGAAGGGCGCCGGGGGUCUGCUGCUGAUCUCAAGAGGUGGAAGAAAAUGAAAAUAAAAACUAUCUGACUGCUAAAAAUCCAAUACGGAGGUGAGUGCGGCGUGCAGGGAGCGGUUGGCCGCGGACAGGGGCUGGAUGAGGGACUGGAACUGGGAGCGGGUCUCCUGGUGACCCAGGACCGAGACGCACAUCGCGAAGAACCCCUCCGGAUCCUCUCGACCCGCCAGCACCUCUCUCAACCACUUCCUCACCGACGCUUUACUGUCGUCGGCGUCGACCACCGGCCGAGGCAUCUUCCAAGCGAAAGGACUUGGACAAAUUUACAGCCGGACCUGGAUACAUGCUUCUUGGGGCUUUGCGCGAGAACCCACCGGACCGCAUACAGCCGACACCAGUGUCAAGUGGAGGACUCCGUGAGAAAGAAACGUCCUUCCUGCAGACGUCCUGAGCAGGAUGAUGACAUUCCAGCCAGCUCCAGGGGUGCUGCCCCUCAGUUGCCCCUGAUCUCUGACCCGGGGUCAGGGAGCAAAGAGAGAUAUUUCCUAUAAGGAUCAAUUGAUAAGUGUGAUUAUUAAUCUGGACGGUUAAAAAUGUUUUAUGUGUUGGCGUGCGUGUUUGUGUGUGUGCGUGCGUGCUAGUGUGUGUGUGUGUGUGUAAUUUUAAAUAAAUUAUAUAUAUGUGCGUAUAUGUGUGUGUGUAUGUAUAUACAUAUAUGAUGUUUGCCAAAAUUCUAUGUCAUAAGAAGAAUACUGGAUAAUUCAAAACCCCUAAUAAAACUGAUGAAACUUCUUUGCUUGAUCACCAAACAUCUUUCGCUCAUCAAUUCUGUAUCAUCUUGAUUUAACAUUUACUUAAUACAUUUAAAUAAUAUUGUAAUUAAACAAUUUGAAGUGGAUUUUUUGUUUAUCAAUCGUGAGGAACAGAUUUGUUCUAGUUCUGGCUAAAACCUCAAUGAUAUGUCACAGAUCACAAUAAGCAAGGCCCAGAAAUUCACCCCUGUCCAAACAGAGCAAAACUAAAAAAAAGAAUCUUCUUCUGUAGAUUCUCACAUAUAUGUUCAUAUCACCAAGGCUCUGUUCGUAAUAUUUUUCCUGUCUGUGCA